This 161-nucleotide ribosomal RNA is filed under the name Brachythecium rutabulum. RNAcentral's name for it is "5.8S ribosomal RNA". It matches the Rfam family "5.8S ribosomal RNA". Rfam says of the family: 5.8S ribosomal RNA (5.8S rRNA) is a component of the large subunit of the eukaryotic ribosome. It is transcribed by RNA polymerase I as part of the 45S precursor that also contains 18S and 28S rRNA. Lineage: Eukaryota; Viridiplantae; Streptophyta; Bryopsida; Hypnales; Brachytheciaceae. RNAcentral also lists the same sequence under 25 other names. The record is from RNAcentral.
ACUCUCAGCAACGGAUAUCUUGGCUCUUGCAACGAUGAAGAACGCAGCGAAAUGCGAUACGUAGUGUGAAUUGCAGAAUUCCGCGAAUCAUCGAGUCUUUGAACGCAAGUUGCGCCCGAGGCUUGUCCGAGGGCAUUUCCGCUAGAGCGUCACCGCGCCCC